GCCUUAGCUCAGUUGGUAGAGCAAUGGACUGAAAAUCCAUGUGUCCCUGGUUCGAUUCCUGGAGGC
Molecule: transfer RNA, 66 nt
Filed under: Paracellulophaga algicola
Lineage: Bacteria; Pseudomonadati; Bacteroidota; Flavobacteriia; Flavobacteriales; Flavobacteriaceae
Also listed under: 34 other names
Description: Cellulophaga algicola tRNA
Rfam family: tRNA
About the family: Transfer RNA (tRNA) molecules are approximately 80 nucleotides in length. Their secondary structure includes four short double-helical elements and three loops (D, anti-codon, and T loops).
Source: RNAcentral